Long non-coding RNA from Nothobranchius furzeri (turquoise killifish), 7036 nucleotides. RefSeq lists it as uncharacterized. The record is from RefSeq and is a predicted model, not a curated record. NCBI's taxonomy places the organism in Eukaryota, Metazoa, Chordata, Actinopteri, Cyprinodontiformes, Nothobranchiidae.
UCUAACAUAGUAUAGCUAUAAAUAUAUUGUUGACAUUUAAAAAUAAAGAAUAAUCAUGUGAUUCUGUCACAUUUGUCUAAAAUCCUCCACCAAUUGUGGUCCAAAAGCACCUAUUGCAGCUUUGAAUCUCAUGACUUUACUAUAAAUGGGGAAAAGGGAAACCAUGACUUAACAUUCAAAAGGUUUGAAUGCUUUUUUUUUCUUUUCUUUUAUUAUUUUUUUUACAAAGAUUCUUUGGGAAACUUUUGAAUAAGUACAAUUAUUCCAGACUUUUGCAGUAUUAUCAGAUUGUAGUAGCAGAAAUCAUUAAAUUUAAAUUUGCUUCUACGAGCUGCAGGUCAUUUGUAAUUUUGGAGCCUUGAACAAAACUUAAAAUACAGCUUUUGUUCCUUGUUCUUCUAAGAACUGAUGUAUUUUAGGACAGCAUGAGUAAUUAGAAUCUGAUAAAGGUGAACAAUGGCUGAACCAUUAGUUCUUCAGAACCUGCACAACAAAAGUCCUUUAAUCAUCUAAUGCAGGCUUUGUGUGAUCAAUGAGGGCAAAGGUUGCCUUCAGGUUUAUGGUGAUAAAGUAUUUAGAAUAAAAUAUAAUGUAAAACUAGAAUGUGCUGCAAAAUUUCAUUUAUCACCAAUUCAACUUAAAAGGUGAAACUAAUAUAUGAAACUAAUUAUAUACUAAGCCAGAAAUUUCAAAACUUUGUUUAAUAUAAUUGUGAUGAUUAUGGGGCAGCAGUAUCUCAGGAGGUAGAGCGGGUUGCCUUAUGAUUGGAGGGUCAUGGGCUUGAUUCCAGCUCCCACCAGGGGCAUUCUGCUGUUGUACCCUUGGGCAAGACACAUUACCUUCACUUGCCUGCAUUGGUUGUGGUCAGAGGAGCCGACGGCGCCAAUUGACAGCCUUGCCUCUGUCAGACCGCCCCAGGACAGCUGUGGCUACAUACGUAUGAAUAAUGGUAAGAAGAAGAAGAAGAUGUCAUGAACAGAAGUCAGAAGGACCCGUAAUGACACCAAACACUGUAAAGCACCUUUAAAAGUCUUUAUUUUAUGUGGAGUUACCAGAGGUGGGUGAGGCUGAGGCAGAGUCAGGAGGAAGCAUGGGUCAAAACCAGAGAGAUCCGUGAAUGCUACAAGGGGCAGGCAGGAGGCAGAAUACAGAGAAUUGUCCGAAGGUCGAGAAUCCAGGGGGUCAGAAGCAGAGAACAAUCCAGGCAGGGAGCAGGCACGUGGGCAGGUAGAGAUACAGGAACAAGGUCAGGAUCUAUGAUUCAGGCAGAGGUAAGGAGUGCUGGAGAAUUUCCUGGCGUGAGCUUUACAAUAAUCUGGCAGAGACUGGGUAGCUGAAUGGAUCUUUUAUAGCAGGGGAAGCAGGUGUGUGAGAUGAGUUGAGGAGUCAGGAGCAGGUGAAGAGGACGAAGCUGAUUAUAGGAACAGGUGAGAUGAAUGGAGUUGAUGGUGGUUGCCAGGGAAACAGGGCUUGUCAGGAGCUUGGUGAGGGGGCCAGGUGAGCUGAAUGAAGGCUGAAAAAUGAGAGUCAUGACAGAAGAAGAAGAAGAUAUAAUUUCUAUAGUGCCUCUCAAGAUAAAAAAUCAUGAGGCGCUUCACAAAAACAUAAAUGUAAAAAUAUAAAAAAUAAUUUAGAAAAUGGUUAAAAAUAUAUUUAAAAUGAGCAAAAGAUAGACAAUUGUGAUUAAAAAAGUGUUAAGAAUGAGAGAGAGUGAAUAGGAAAGAGAGAAAUCAGUGGAUCCUGAGGAAGGUGGAAUAGGUGGGGAGAGCAGAAUAAAGAGAGAGUGGUGAAGAAGGUCAUACAAAAGCCACUUUGAACAGGUGAGUUUUCAGCUGCUUUUUAAAGGAGACCACUGAGUCCACUGAUCUCAGGCUCAGAGAGAGAGAGAGGUCCAGAGUCUGGGGGCCACAGCAGCAAAUGAUCUGUCACCUUUGGUCUUAACCCAGCUAACAGGGAACGUUCCAAUAACUUUCGCUAACAUUCUUUAAAAGUGUUUGUAAUGUUAGCACAUAACGUUGUUAAAGUAAUGUUUUCAUUUCAUUCUUGCCCCCCCCCCCCCUCCCUAGCAUCAAUCAAAUGGACAGGUGUAUUGUUCUUUGACCAGAUGGCCUUGCCCCCCCUUCCCUAGAAUCAAUCAAAUGGACAGGUGUAUUGUUCUUUGACCAGAUGGCCUUUCCUAGGAGCUAGAUAUUUUUGUUCCUGGUGUUUUACCCCGUACCAAAAAAUUAAUGGACAUCAUUGUAAAUGGUUCUGCCGAGUGUGUAAUACCAAUUUAUGCAAACGAACAGAAACGUCGCUCAUCACAUGUCCUGAUUGUAAUCGGAUAUGCCAAAAUGUAAUGUGUUUUCAAAAUCACAAAACACCUGUUUACAGGCCUCAAGCAGACAGGGCAGUUUCUCCUUGCGAAAUGUUUAAAAAAUGCACGAGUUGUAAGCAACUUUAUUACAUUGCUACGAGUGGAAAUGGCUCACAGCACGUUUGCCCCACCACCAAAUGCACCAUUUGCAAACAGUCGGUGGUCACCGUUGAUCACCGGUGUUUUAUUCAGCUUGAAAAAAAAGAUGACGGUUUAACGGAAAAGGUUAUUUAUUAUGGCACUGAAACAUUUACGGAUCAGAACGGUGUGCAUACACCUUUUUUAAUCUGUGCAAAAUCCGAUUCAAGCGAGGUUUGGGAAAAAUAUGGUGUAGAAUGCAUUAAAGAUUUUAUUAUGCAGAUGAGGCGGCCUAAAUUCAACAAUUAUACAUUUGUUGCACACAAUGCGCGUGGAUUUGAUGCUUGUAUAAUUUUGAGAGCUAUGAGUCAAUUAAAAUUUGUUCCCAAAAAUAUUCUCAUGUAAGGUUGUAAGAUCUUAAGUUUUAACGAUCCAGAUUUUGGCUUAAGAUUUAUAGAUUCGUUAAGUUUUCUCAUGAUGAAACUAGCCAACCUCCCCGCUGCUUUGGGUUUUACAGAUAAAACUAAAGGUUAUUUUCCUCACAGAUUUUCAUCGGUUGAACAUUUGAAUUAUAUCGGCGCUUACCCUCCAGUGUCCGAUUUUGGGUUUGACCAAAUGUCUCAGGAGCAGAAAAAUAUAUUUUUAGAAUGGUACCACGAAGUGACUAAGCAUCAGCUGUUUGAUUUUAAGAAGGAAGCGAUGUUUUAUUGCAGGAACGAUGUGGAAAUUCUGCGUAAAGCAUGCAGCAUUUUCAGAGAGGAAUUUUUUAAUGAAACGGGGAUCGACCCUAUGAAAUCAGUCACCAUCGCUUCAGCUUGCAUGCGCGUGUUUAGAACAAAUUUCCUAAAACCAAACACUUUGGCCAUCCCUUGUCCGCUCGGUUAUCGCCCGCAAAAAAAAACCUUUUCAAGUUCAAGUAUCGUGUGGUUAGAAUGGGUUUCACGCCGUCAAAAUGUAGAGAUUCAACACGCUUUAAAACCUUCAGGGGAGCAUAGAGUGGGAAAGUUCUUCCUCGAUGGAUUUGCUGUGAUUUCAGGCGUUGAAAACGGAUUUGAGUUUCUGGGGUGUUUUUUCCACGGCUGUCCAAAAUGUUUCCUGCCGUCAGCCAUCUGUCCUCUGAGAAAAAUCACUUUUGGUGAAAUUUAUGACAAAACCAUCGAAAAGCUACAGACGCUGGAAACUGUGCAUCGAUUAAAAGUGAAUGUGAUUUGGGAACAUGAUUGGCAGGAGAUGGUGAAAUCAAAUCCGGACGUGAAACAGUUUGUCGAGGAAUUUGAGUCCCCACCAGCUCCUCUUUCACUGCGUGAGGCGCUGUUCGGAGGGAGAACAUGUCCCGUUCAGAUGAGGCGUACGGCUCAGAGUAGGGUUGUCACGGUAUGAAAAUUUAACCUCACGGUUAUUGUGCCCAAAAUUAUCACGGUUUUCGGUAUUAUCGCGGUAUUUUUUAAACGGUGUUGCAUUAGUUCAGAAAGCAAACUGAAAUAGUUUUGAAAAGGUUUAACAGUGUUUAUUAAACCUAAAAUAACACAAAGCCUUAGCAAAAGUUAAAGUCCCAUUAGUUGUGUGUGUGCGAAAUUUGUUCUCCGCAUUUGACCCAUCCCCUGGGGGAGCGGUGAGCUGCAGACACAGCCGCGCUCGGGAACCAUUUGCAACUUUUCACAAGUAAAGGAACAAAUAGCUUAUUUUUCUGGAACAUGUUACAGUAGUCAGUGCAGGUUUAAAUUAUACAAAUCCAAAUAUUUGAAACAUAAACAAUAUGUAAACAAAUCAAAGAAACACCACUUGUUUUCUCAUAUACUUGUUUUCUUCAUUAUCAAAAUGAAAAUCUAAAACUCCAGUCCACACUUGACUUGAGCACUGUGCAAGUCAACCUUAAAAAAAUAUGUAUUUAAAAUAAAUAGCCACUUUAAACAAAUUACUAAAAUAACUACUACACUAUGUAAUCAAAUCCAAAUGUUCAAGUAUAAAUGGCAUUGAAUAAGUAAAGAAAUCAAUGACAAGGAACUAAUUGUAUAUUUCUCUUCAUCUUCAACAAAUAAGAUGCUUCAUCCAGCAACAGGGUGUCCGUGACACGGUUUAAAUGCUAGCAGAGGGCGCUGCGGCUGCAGUAUAUAGUGACUCGUUGCAUUCUCCCUCAACCAAAAGUCUUCACGUCAUGCAUUUAAGCUAAAAUGCUAAUGUUAACUUACCUUGCACUGGCUGUAGAGACGUGGGUGAUGGUCACGCAGAUGUGCCAUUAGAUUCAAAGUGUUGCUGCCUUUUGCAGACACUUGUUUCCUGCACGUUCUGCAAACGGGAUAGCCGUCUUCUAUUAACUGUCCCUCAGCAUUUUUCAGAAAUCCAAAAUAUGCCCAUACUUCCGAUUUAGUCUUCUUUGAGGGCUGAUGGAUGUCCUGGGCGCUGCCGUCUCCUCCUUCGGCCAUUAUUUCAGCUUCAAAGUUUUGGUUGCAAACUAAAAAGUGCGUGAGCGCGCCGCGGGAACUUCAGCAGAAGCGACGGUGGCUGGUAAGGGUCACCGCGCCUAAACCGCGGCCACGGUAAACCCACCGAGAUAAUUUAGUUUUUUAAAAACUGGACGGUUAUUUUUAUUGUCAACUUUUUUACCGGGGUUUACCGCUAUAACGGUUACCGUGACAACCCUAGUUCAGAGUGAUGAAAAAAUUCACUACGUGGAUUUUACGAGUCUGUACCCUUACAUAAACGCCACGCAAAAUUAUCCCAUCGGUCAACCCAAAAUCCAUGUGAAAAUUUUCAAAGAUCCAAGUAGCUAUUUUGGUUCGAUUAAAGCGGUUGUCUCUCCGCCCAGAAAACUGUUUUUCCCUGUUCUGCCUUUUAAAACAUCCAAAGGUAAAUUAGUUUUUACCCUAUGUCGUACUUGCGCUGAGCUAAAUAAUCAUUCUAAUUCUUGUUCACACAGCCCAUCUCAGAGAGCUUUGGCAGGAGUAUGGGUGAGCGUGGAGCUCAAUUAUACGUUGGAGUCUGGUGAAAAUGAUUGAAGUCUGGGAUUUUGAGAAAAGCAGCAAAGAUGUGUUUGCAGGUUACAUUAAGAUGUUUCUGAAACCAAAACAGCAAGCCUUGGGUUUUCCUGAAGGACUGAUGAUGAAUCAAAAAGAAAAAACGUUCAGGACAGCUCCGUCAGGGGAUACGAUUAGAUUUGGCAAAGAUUCAAUGCAAUCCUGCUAAACGUGCCAUUUCAAAAUUAUGUCUUAAUUCACUUUGGCAGAAAUUUGGUCAGAGAGAUGACAUUGUACAGACCACAUUUGUUCUAAACCCUGAUGAAUUUUUUGACCUUCUGUUUUCAGGAAAAUACGAAGUUAAAUUCUUUAGCUUUGUCACUUCAGGAGCUGUUCUGGUCCAGAAUUCCUUGACAGCAGUGGCGGCUGGCCAGUAGAGGGCGAUAGGGCACCACCCUCCCAGUUUUCCCCAGUGUUUUUAAUUUUUAUUUAAAGGAGACAUAACAUGAAAAACCCACUUUUUUAUCCGUUAACACAGUGUGUUUCACAUUUUAAGUGUCUAAGUGAGCAAAAAGGCUUAUAUUAUUCACUGGAGUUGCUAUUUAGAUAUUUAAUAAUUAAGUUUUGGGCAUAUUUGUCCACCCGUUCAGUUUUUCAAAUUAUCUAUUAAAUCAGUAAUUUAUUUCGUCAGGAUAACUACCAAAUAUGGUAAUGGCCCUCGGUUAAACACAGAGCCAAUCCGCCAUUUUUUCAUCUCGCUAAGAUUUUUUGUAGUCCUAUUGGAAAAAUGCAGAAUGUCUGGUUAUUUUAGCCACACACAGCUCAAAACUGUUCCUUGUUUUAAGGAAGGGUGGUGUGGCAGUAUUUAAACCCAGGAGCUGAUGACACUACUGCUAAAAAAACACAGAAGAAAAAGUAGUGUGUGUGUGUGUGUGUGUGUGUGCGCGCGCGCGCGCGUGGUUCGUUCGUGUCUCCUGGCUAGUAAGUACCGAGGGCUUCAUCUAUCUAAAAGGAGUCAUUUCCAUCUGAAUGUGACAGCACCGGGACACAGCAGCAGAGCGAGUCCACAUCCAGAAGGCUGGAGCCGUGUUUCACUGACAGGCUGUCAGACUAACGCCCUGAUGAGCUCAGCUGGGACAAUCUGGUCUGAUGUUUAGGAACACAGAACGCUCAGAUGUUGGAGCUCACGUCACCUACUGAGGAAGGAGACCCACCAGUAAAGAGACGGUCUGGACCAGACCAAAAAUAUGGCGAUGACAUCAUGGAACUGGUCUUUGGAAAAGUUUUCCCUGAACCAACUCCGUUUCUAGAUGAGGUAGAGAAGAUCUGCAUCUCACCAACUCUCUGGUCUCAGUAUUCAGACAACGGAGGUCUCCCACUGUUAUCCAGGACCAGUUUGAAGCCCACAUACUUCCCCUCCCUCAUCAUCAGGAAACAUCAAUCCGUAUCCUGAGGACAACAGAAGACGGCAGGAGGACAGGAACUCUGAGACCUAGAUACCACAGCACCGGGACACAAAGCACCUGUGUGCACAAAGCCUGUUUAACUACUAAAACCUGUUUAUUAUAUAGUUCUACUUAUUUGCUGUGAGGUUAAUACUUAGAAAAUUUGUAUUUUAAUGUAAACAAUAAAAAAAUCAUUGAUUGUA